This 479-nucleotide long non-coding RNA is filed under the name Callithrix jacchus (white-tufted-ear marmoset). RNAcentral's name for it is "lncRNA (ENSCJAG00000054150.2)". The record is from RNAcentral. Lineage: Eukaryota; Metazoa; Chordata; Mammalia; Primates; Cebidae.
GGCAGGCAUCCCGAACCUUGGCAGUGGAAGAAGUUGGCAAUGAUUGCCACUUGGCCUACUGCUACUGAAGUCUGAUACUCCUAAGCUAAUGGCUGUUUCUUCAAAUUGUGUUUACCCAAGAGAAAUAAAUGUCCCCGUUUAAAGACUAGUCCACAAAUGUGCACAGUAGUAUUUGUUACAUACGAAGGCUGGAAAAAACCCAGAUGUUCAUCACAAGGUCUCUCUCGUCAGAGUUUCUGUUGACUGUGCUGUCCAUGACCAGGAAAAGUCUUGUCCUGCAUUUGCUCACUUCAGGUACCAAAACUGGGGGUCAUGCAUGCAUCAUGUUUUCUAUAGAAGGUAGGUUUCUUAACUUCCAAAAGAAAUGGAAUUCACUCUACAUCAUUAAAGUAGAUGAUAUGUUAAUUAAAGGUAAUUAAGUUAUAUGCAGAAUUGUGAGAAUGGCUAAGGAAAUAUAUUCAAAGGUAAGAUGGCAGGGA